RNAcentral lists this ribosomal RNA (253 nucleotides) under uncultured bacterium. RNAcentral describes it as "partial 16S ribosomal RNA". It matches the Rfam family "Bacterial small subunit ribosomal RNA", at positions 524 to 776 of the family's 1533-position model. The record is from RNAcentral.
UACGGAGGGGGCUAGCGUUGUUCGGAUUUACUGGGCGUAAAGGGCGCGUAGGCGGCGUGACAAGUCACUUGUGAAAUCUCCGGGCUUAACUCGGAACGGUCAAGUGAUACUGUCGUGCUAGAGUACAGAAGGGGCAACUGGAAUUCUCGGUGUAGCGGUGAAAUGCGUAGAUAUCGAGAGGAACACCUGCGGCGAAGGCGGGUUGCUGGGCUGACACUGACGCUGAACUGCGAAAGCUAGGGGAGCGAACGGG